RNA transcript from Passer domesticus (house sparrow), 1675 nucleotides. It is a transcript of the gene named glutamine-rich protein 2-like, with no coding region annotated. NCBI's taxonomy places the organism in Eukaryota, Metazoa, Chordata, Aves, Passeriformes, Passeridae. The transcript has 11 exons. The record is from RefSeq and is a predicted model, not a curated record.
GGUGUUGUGAUGAGGAGGGCCACCAGCAACCUGGUUCCAGUCCUGCAAGGGACAAGGAAGGAGGAAGGAGCCUGCUGGCUACUCAUCCUUUUCCUUAUCGCAUUCGCUCAUUGCUUCUAUCGCACCUGCUGUUCAACCCAUUUGUCAUCAAUUUUGCUUGUCCCUGACAGGCCCAACUGGGCCCAUUUGGGCCAACUGUGACAAAUCAGGGACAGAGUGUGUGCAGUCAUGGCAACAUCUCUGGACACACUCAGCCUCUCCCAGAUGCUGGAUCUCGCCAUUGGGACACCCCAGAAGGGAUCUGUUCACUUUGCAGCCAUGAGAAAACUGCUGCAGGCUGUGCUGGCGCACCUGGACGUGCAGUACCUGACAAGUGAGGAGCCAUGGCCAGGCCAGCUGAGUGGCCCCUCACUUGCUGAUGUGGCCACUCACAUGGAAAAGAUGAAGAAAGAGAUGGAAGACUGCAAGAAACAGAUGUCUGAGCUUGUUCAUGAAGUGAUUGUUGGGAUACAGGCAGAAGUUUCCCACCUCUCAGAGGAUGUUAGGAAGAUGCAGAAGGCCCAGUCCUACAUGUCAGAGGAAAUUAAGAAGAUCCAGGAGGAGGACAUGGCUCUCAUCCAGGAUCUGCGUGAGGAGGUUGACAGGAUAAAAACAACCCAGAUCCGCAUGGAAGGAGACAUAAAGAAGCUUAAGGAGACUCCUGCCCUAAUUAAGAAGAUGGGAGAGGACCUUAAAAAGCUGAGGGAGGAUGCAGCCAAAUGGAAAGAAGAGAGCAGCAAGGAGAUCUCUCAGCAAAUUGAGGCUUUGCGGCAGGAGACAAAGCAUGAGCUGCAGAAGAUGGGAGAGCAGGUGGAGAUGAGGUAUACCAUGCUGGAGCAGGUGGUGAUUGAGACAAUUAACAAAGUCAAUGAGCAGCUUGGUGAUACAGGCGAAACUGGGGACCUAGAGGAUGAGCAGCAAGAGGGGAAUGGAGACUGCUCCAGUUGCACCUUCAACAUCAGAGCGUGCUUGGGGAAGCUCCUCCAGCGCUGUGAGAAACUCCAGGAGCAGGUGGAAUCCAUGGAGUCACGGCAGAUGGCCAUGGGAAAAUGCAACAAAAUGAUGAGGAAAUAUGUCCAGGAGCGGGAGCAAGACCAGAAGCGGCUGCACUACGUGGAGGCUACAGUUGUACAGAUGAAGGGAGACUGUGAGAAGCUCAGCUUUGUUUCUGGGGCCCUGCAGAAAGACUCUGAACAAAAGCAGAAAGAAAUCGAGGAUGCAGCUCCAACCUUACUGCGGUGUAAUGAGUUCCUUUCUGUGCUGAAAGAUGCUGUUCCAGUUUCUGGAGAAACUGCAGAAGGAGAAGGCAGAUCAGCAGGACAUGCUGGCAGCAAUGGACAUGAAGGCGGACAAAGCUGCCUUGGGCAGCAAAGUCAAUUGCAGCCAGUUUGAUGUCACUAUGGAGCGUCUGGAUGAGAGGAUGCAGGAGUUGCAGAGCCAGAUUUCAGGCCAGGAGCAGCACUGGAACAAUACGCAGCAGCAGCUCAGCCUUGUGGAGGAGGAGAAGCUGGAUCGCCUGGAACUGAAGACUUUCCGUAACCAGAUGGAGGAGACCUGGAACAGGAACAUGGAUGAGCUUGAGAAUAGGCUGAGGCGUGAAAACGCUGCUGGGUAUAAGAAGUGAGUGUGAUGGAGA